AUGGUUCGAGAGACAAGCAAAGAACUGACUACUAGCAGCAUAGGGGGGAGAGAAAGCUUCUUUGAUCAUUCAGUCAGCGAGCCAGCGAGUCCAGAAACAGGGGGAGAGAAUGCUGAACAGGGAGACAAAAAUACCGAGGCAUACUCCACACCGAAACCUCCUGAUGAAACGAUGAAGUUUGAUACUUUUGAGGAAGCUUAUGAACACUACAGGCAAUAUGCAAUGAGACAUGGGUUUGGAAUGAGACUGGAAUACAGAAAAACAAUCAAAGACAAUACUGUAAGCAGAGUCCUCUUGGUUUGUGGGAAAUACGGCAAGCCAAAAACAAACAAGGAGGAGACAGAGGAUGUGCAGGACCCAAAAGGCAUCGUGAAGAAGAGGAAAAGAGGGAAGGUUGUGAGGUCGGGAUGUCCGGCCCACCUUUACAUCACCCACAGGGAUGCGUGGUGGAGAGUCAAACGCUUCAACGACGACCACAACCACCCUCUAAUAAGAAAGCCGUCCUUGACAAAGUUCCUAUCAACACAUAGGAACAUUCCAAAAGAUGAGCAGGACUUCUUGAAGAUAUUGCACGGAUGCAACAUAGAGACAGCAAGACAGAUGCAACUAAUGGAAUGGUUCUACAGGAAUCCUAAAGAUGUACCAUACACAACAAAGGACAUGGCAAACCAGCGAGCUAAAUUCCGGAUGGAGUACCGCCAUGCUGAUGUGGGGAGCACAAUCUCGUACUUCCAAGAUGUUUAUAUUAUGAAUGCAGUUGAGGAGUUUGAGCACAAGUGGUGGGUGAUGAUGGAAGCGUAUGGCCAGACUGACAACGAGCAUUUCCAAUGGCUAUGGGAGAACAGGAAGUGUUCGGUCCCGGUAUACUAUAUGCACGAUUUUUUCCCGUUCUUGCAGACCACGGCAAGAAGUGAGGGUUUUAACUCUGUGGUCAAGAAGUAUGUCAACCCAAACAACUCACUGGUCGAAUUCGCACAACAGUACACUAUGAUACAGGAUAAGGUGAUGGCUAGCGUCUCAAAAGAGCAGUUGGAAACAGUGUACAAAGAAAUCGAAAUGUACUCAAUGAACCCGCUGGAGAUGCAGGUGCGGGGGUUGUACACACAUAACUUGUUUUGCAAGUUCUAGGUGGAGAUGAAGGUGAAAUCAGCAUACAGAUGCGACGCAUUGGAUGAUGGUACUUUCAAGGUCAGCUCGGUGCGGGGGAUAAUACCAAAAUAUGGAGACAGGGACUACCAUGUGCAAGCAAACAUCAAUGAAGAGACAUACUCGUGUAGUAGCUGCAAGUUUGAUCGUGACGGGCUACUGUGCACGCACGUACUACGAGUUAUGGACCAAAUUGGGGCAUACGAGAUACCUGAAAAGUACAUCCUAAAGAGGUGGACCUGGGAUCCAGAGGAGGAUCUUAUUCAACCUGAUUUCAAACAGCUGACAGUUAAGAAGUCGAUGCCAGAGGAGGGGAAAACGAUGCGAUACACGUCAAUUCUUAAAGAAUUUAAGGCAUUGGCCAAAGACGCUUGCCUAACAGAUGACGGGACCGGAUUGGCAAGAAAACACCUGUAUAAUUUCAAGGAGGAGCUUGAAAUCCUGAAGAACAAUCAACUUAAAAAAAGCAAGAAAGGAAAAGGAAGAAGCAAAGGGAUCGUUUCAAGGACAGCCGGAUCCCUGCUUGAUACCUAUGGGGCGAUGAAUGAAGACAACCAUGUCACACGUCACCAAAACGCCCCCGAUGCAAGACAUCCGAAGAACCCAGCCACACACCAAACAAGUGCCACUAAUGUGCAGCAACAGGAGAACCACGCCACACAACAAGAAAGUGCUACUAAUGUGCAGCGACAGGGUAACCCUGCCACACAGCAAGAAAGUGUGCGGGUGACGAUACAUGCUAGCAAAAACAAUCAUGCUUUUGCCAUCCAGCCCCCACAUCCUAAUGCAGCUCCGUCCUCAAACACAAAGUUGAUACUAGACCCUCCCAAGACUACAACGAAGGGGCGGCCAAAGUCAAAAAGAAAGUAG
Molecule: ribosomal RNA, 2016 nt
Filed under: Triticum aestivum (bread wheat)
Lineage: Eukaryota; Viridiplantae; Streptophyta; Magnoliopsida; Poales; Poaceae
Description: partial small subunit ribosomal RNA
Source: RNAcentral